UUACAAAAAGUGUUGCUUAUUCUCAACUAGAUCUCACAAUCCAAACAUGCAUUUUCAUUCUUAGUUCCUCACUUUUGCUUUUAAUGCUCUGAAAUGAUGAAACCACCUCUCCAUCCUCUUCAAUUUCUUGCUCCGCCUCUUCAAUCUGUCGUUCCCUUCAUCGAUCUUAUGGUUCGCAAAUAAAAACCACAAAUCGCGUGCUCUACUCCGGAUUCGCCUCUUCAUUCUCUCAUUCGCUACUAUCAUCGAAGUCGCCACCAUCGUCACUGCCAUUAUGAUGAUAGGUACAAUUAUUUUGUUGUGAUUUGUUUGCUCACCGGAUAAUCAUCAACUACAGCAAGGCAUUCUAGUUAUUUCCAAGUGGUUAAUCUAUAAUCAAUUUAAAUUUUUUGCUUCUAAAGGAAUCAAACUUGGAGAGAUUGGGAGUGUGCGAGGCUAUGGUAAAUGAGUAUAGUAGGGUCUAGGAGAUCUUGUCCACAUCUUUUGGAAGGUCCAAGGUUGAAUUCAUGAGCAUGUUGCAGGUGUGUGACAAACAAAAAGCUAUACUAUAGUGGAUUGGUUGUAGCUGGUGUUUUUCCAUCACCUUUUGAUUAUGCAAAUGUAGUGACUACCACCACUCACAAGUCACUUCAUAGCCCCUGUGGAGCUAUGAUAUUCUUUAGAAAGAGUGUUAGGGUGUGUGUGGUUCAAAGAUUAAAUUUUAUUAUUAAGAAUAUCAUUUUUAGGAAUAUAAUGUCUAGGAAUGAGAUUACUUGGAAUAUAUGAUUCCCAUAUUUGGUUGUAAAAUUUAAUACAUUAGAAUAUUAUAUAAUAAUCUUAGA
Molecule: long non-coding RNA, 821 nt
Organism: Arachis stenosperma
Lineage: Eukaryota; Viridiplantae; Streptophyta; Magnoliopsida; Fabales; Fabaceae
Exons: 3
Source: RefSeq, a predicted model, not a curated record